Etheostoma cragini (Arkansas darter) is the source of this 543-nucleotide long non-coding RNA. RefSeq lists it as uncharacterized. NCBI's taxonomy places the organism in Eukaryota, Metazoa, Chordata, Actinopteri, Perciformes, Percidae. The record is from RefSeq and is a predicted model, not a curated record. The transcript has 2 exons.
GCCCAGAGAUUCCAACCCCGAAUAAAUAAACAGAUAAAGUGCACUCACUUUUGCCUUUUUGCUGCUUUCAUUAUUCUGAUAAAAUACAACAAACUGCUUGUUUAAUUUAAAACAAAUUAAAGGAAAUCAUUCCAUACAUUAUGUCAUUAAACACUGAAUCAAAUCUAAAAGGCACCACUGAAAAAAGAAUGUUAAAGUGCAGUUUUCUACUGAUAUUUCUUUCUUCUUCCCCGAGUGUCUUUCAUGAUAUGUCGCAGCGUUAGCAAUCUACAAGUGUUACUACUUUCCACUAAACUGGAGAAAACAAGGACGGAAAACUGGUUGUACACUUAUUUAUGAUAUGUGAGUAUAAUGGAGCAAUAUGAAGUAGAUGUGUUAUGGAAAAUGUAUCCUAUAUGUUUGUUUUAUCCCACAGCCCUACAUUUGCUAUGGGUUGUGUCCUGUCAGAUCCAUGAAGUGUGUAGGUUUGACAUUUGUCAAGUAGUCUUAAACACUGAACUUUGUGUAAUUUUUACGAAACAGAAAUAAAAUUGUAAUGAGAAU